AGGGGAGUACUCAGUUUUCUUUUGCAUUUUAAUAUUUCCUAUACAUUGAGGACAAUGCAUGAUUUAGGUGUGGGGGUGCAUAUUUCUGAAUCUUUAUUUUUGUUUAUUUUUGCUUUGAUUUUCAGUUUGAAUUUUUUUUUUCAUUUUCAGUGUGAUUUUUUUCAAUUUUUCGUUUUUGCUUUCAAUAACACACACAACCACAGUCUUCUUCCUUUUUGU
This 219-nucleotide long non-coding RNA is filed under the name Manihot esculenta (cassava). Its description in RNAcentral is "long non-coding RNA (MESC_LNC012204)". The record is from RNAcentral. Lineage: Eukaryota; Viridiplantae; Streptophyta; Magnoliopsida; Malpighiales; Euphorbiaceae.